CAAUAUGCUAAGAAGUGAGACAGGUCU
Molecule: non-coding RNA, 27 nt
Filed under: Rattus norvegicus (Norway rat)
Lineage: Eukaryota; Metazoa; Chordata; Mammalia; Rodentia; Muridae
Source: RNAcentral